GUUUUUGUAGUUGAAAACAACAUUGGUUUUUCAAGCCAAAGGUCUUGGUUAAAAUCCAGGUGGAAACU
RNAcentral lists this transfer RNA (68 nucleotides) under Hemirhamphodon kuekenthali. RNAcentral's name for it is "tRNA-Glu". It matches the Rfam family "tRNA". Rfam says of the family: Transfer RNA (tRNA) molecules are approximately 80 nucleotides in length. Their secondary structure includes four short double-helical elements and three loops (D, anti-codon, and T loops). The record is from RNAcentral. Lineage: Eukaryota; Metazoa; Chordata; Actinopteri; Beloniformes; Zenarchopteridae.